AUUGAACGCUGGCGGCGUGCCUAAUACAUGCAAGUCGAACGAAGUGGCGCACGGAUGAGUAAUAUCUAGUUAGUCUGCCCUCCCAAGCGGAACAACCGUUGGACACAACUGCUAAUACCUCCUAGUGUAGGAUGAGACUAUAUCGUAUCAGCUAGUUGGUAAGGUAAUGGCGUACCAAGGCUAUGACGCGUAACUGGUCUGAGAGGAUGAUCAGUCACAGUGGAAGUGAGGCACCGUUCAAACUCCGACCGCAGGCAGCAGUAAGGAAUAUUGCGCAAGGGGGGAAACUCUGACGCAGCAACGCCGCGUGGAGGAUGACAAUUAUCGGAGCGUAAACUCCUUUUAUCAGGAAAGCGGUACCGGAUGAAUAAGCACCGGCUAACUCCGUGCCAGCAGCCGCGGUAAUAC
RNAcentral lists this ribosomal RNA (408 nucleotides) under uncultured bacterium. Its description in RNAcentral is "partial 16S ribosomal RNA". It matches the Rfam family "Bacterial small subunit ribosomal RNA", at positions 30 to 526 of the family's 1533-position model. The record is from RNAcentral.